This is a small nucleolar RNA of Passer domesticus (house sparrow), 111 nucleotides long. RefSeq annotates it as small nucleolar RNA SNORD67. The record is from RefSeq and is a predicted model, not a curated record. The transcript has a single exon. NCBI's taxonomy places the organism in Eukaryota, Metazoa, Chordata, Aves, Passeriformes, Passeridae.
GGUGAGCGGGAAGGGCAUUCCCACUGGAGUGGCGGGAUGGAUGUGGGGACAUCCCCCCCACCACAGUCCCCAGAGUGACAAUGCCACCUCACAGGGAUCGUCUGACGCACA